Molecule: non-coding RNA, 1408 nt
Organism: Gasterosteus aculeatus aculeatus (three-spined stickleback)
Lineage: Eukaryota; Metazoa; Chordata; Actinopteri; Perciformes; Gasterosteidae
Source: RefSeq, a predicted model, not a curated record
GCCUGGAAUCGAACCAACAACCUUGUGCUUCCCAGCACACCUUCUCUAACCCCUGCGCCACGAAGAAAUGGCACGAUCAGCUGGAGAAAGACUCCUCAAGGAGCCAGAGUGCUGACUAGCAAGCAUUUUAAGAAAGACUAAUUGUCUACACUCGUUAAUUUCUUUUAAUACUUUCAAGGUGCCUUAGGAAUGAAACGUCUUGCAGCAAUGGGCCAACAUUCUCAACAUUUACAGAUGUGUCAUUCUGCCUGUUUUGUCCCAUUUGAAGUAGCACAGCAAGACUUCUACUUAAAUGUUUCUUUGCUUUGUUUCACAGGUUGCAGGAAUUCAAAAAUCUCUCAACACUGCCGUGAGUGACGGACAUAAGAGAGGGCUUGAAAACUCACCUCUUCCACUCCUCCUCUCCUUCCCAGAACUCAUAGACGACAAAGGAUACACCGUCCGGCAGGCGCACCGCAUUCACACUGGAGCGGAGACAGAGGAGAAUGGCAAUGAGUGGGUGAUAGUCAGCAAGGUUACGGUUGGAGAAGUGAGAUUAUGACAGAAUGUUGGGGCUAGAUGGCGGUGCACCGAUGAAGAUGACUGGAGGAGUGUUCAGGAAGAGCAAGCCGGGACAUCAACAUCUCGAGGUGCAACGUGCUAGCUAAAAGCUCUGCCCACCUCUCCCCACUCCGUGCGUGAGCUGCGCGGGAAAGGGGGCGAUUGACGUCAAGACAACCCGUUUCAUUGGAGGUUUACCCUGCCAGCCAUCGGACAUCCCACGACGUGUGACCUCUGCGGUUGUAUGGGUAAUCACUGCACCACAUUUCAACACACUGAUCCAUGAACCAGCAGGCGGCGUGUGCAGCCGAACAGAACUGUCUGUGAACUGAACGAACUAGCCGCGCUGUGCGCCCACACACACACCCAAGCACGCAGACGCUAACAGCACCUACUGAACUGAACUGAACAGCAACGGAGCUGACACCAACACGUACACACACACACGCACCCAUACACACCGGAGUGACCCGGUUAGCUCAUGCGGACUGGCACAGCAGACGCUGAGUAACUGUUUAUUUUGCCAUCUAAAGUAAGUUUAUUGGAAUGUGAAUGUGAAAUGCCUUUAGAAGUAAGCUAUAUUCUCUGUUAAGUUUACUGUUCUGGUUAAAGGGAGCCAUUUUUAGUUGUCAUAAGGGUGAACGUUGCUUCCCCAGGUUCCAUGAGAACUUACAAUAGACGGGUAUGGCCCACUAAGUGCCAAGUUAAGCACCCAAUGUUUGAUGAUGAAGUGAAACAGAGGUAUUGAGUAGCCAUUCGUGAGGUUUCUAGGUGACUAUAUUAAUGAAACCAUCCCAUAUAACUGUCUCGUAUUUGAAUAUGUUUUUCUUGUGCUCUGUGUUUAUCCUUGAGUAAACAAUAGAGGGAA